AAGGUCAAAGUAUCUAUAUAUAUAUUCAAAAAGUGACUGAAUACAUAGGUGUUUCAAUAUAUAUGAGUCAACUUAGAGUACAAAAUUUAUGGAUAGAAACUAUCCAAGAGUCAAUCAGUCAACACAUUACAUAGCCCACAAGAUAGAUCCUAGAUAAAAACAAAAGAAAGGACAGACUACACUGGGUCUAAUAGAUGUCAUGGCU
RNAcentral lists this long non-coding RNA (205 nucleotides) under Elaeis guineensis (African oil palm). RNAcentral's name for it is "long non-coding RNA (EGUI_LNC077982)". The record is from RNAcentral. Lineage: Eukaryota; Viridiplantae; Streptophyta; Magnoliopsida; Arecales; Arecaceae.